UGAGCAACCUGCCUUUCAGAGGGGGAUAACAGUUGGAAACGACUGCUAAUACCGCAUAACGCUGCGAUGGGGCAUCCCGAUGCAGCCAAAGGAGCAAUCCGCUGAAAGAUGGGCUCGCGGCCGAUUAGCUAGUUGGUGGGGCAACGGCCCACCAAGGCGACGAUCGGUAGCCGGACUGAGAGGUUGAUCGGCCACAUUGGGACUGAGACACGGCCCAGACUCCUACGGAAGGCAGCAG
RNAcentral lists this ribosomal RNA (238 nucleotides) under uncultured bacterium. RNAcentral describes it as "partial 16S ribosomal RNA". It matches the Rfam family "Bacterial small subunit ribosomal RNA", at positions 118 to 354 of the family's 1533-position model. The record is from RNAcentral.